This 297-nucleotide long non-coding RNA is filed under the name Sus scrofa (pig). RNAcentral's name for it is "lncRNA (ENSSSCG00070008731.1)". Lineage: Eukaryota; Metazoa; Chordata; Mammalia; Artiodactyla; Suidae. The record is from RNAcentral.
CUUUUCCCAACACUGAGAAGAAGCCUCUGGAAUUAUCCUUAACAUAUAAACAUCAGUAGGAACACCUAGGACAUGAGCUUUCAACUAAAUCAAGGAACUAAUAAAAACAAAAGUGAAGAUAUGACUGAGUAUUUGUUUUUCAGAAGAACUCUAUUGGAUCAUCCACAUCCAGAUCUUACUGGAAAUACACCCUCCUGAAGAUUGUCACUUACACCAUUUCCAGACUGACUCUUCCUCCUACAGGGUCCUCAGGCCGGGAAGGGACACCCUCUCACAUACAUCCUGCUGAAAUACCAU